RNAcentral lists this ribosomal RNA (720 nucleotides) under uncultured beta proteobacterium. Its description in RNAcentral is "bacterial SSU rRNA". It matches the Rfam family "Bacterial small subunit ribosomal RNA", at positions 1 to 715 of the family's 1533-position model. The record is from RNAcentral. Lineage: Bacteria; Pseudomonadati; Pseudomonadota; Betaproteobacteria.
GCCCUUAGAGUUUGAUCCUGGCUCAGAUUGAACGCUGGCGGCAUGCCUUACACAUGCAAGUCGAACGGCAGCAUAGGAGCUUGCUCCUGAUGGCGAGUGGCGAACGGGUGAGUAAUAUAUCGGAACGUGCCCUAGAGUGGGGGAUAACUAGUCGAAAGAUUAGCUAAUACCGCAUACGAUCUAAGGAUGAAAGUGGGGGAUCGCAAGACCUCAUGCUCCUGGAGCGGCCGAUAUCUGAUUAGCUAGUUGGUGAGGUAAAAGCUCACCAAGGCGACGAUCAGUAGCUGGUCUGAGAGGACGACCAGCCACACUGGGACUGAGACACGGCCCAGACUCCUACGGGAGGCAGCAGUGGGGAAUUUUGGACAAUGGGGGCAACCCUGAUCCAGCAAUGCCGCGUGAGUGAAGAAGGCCUUCGGGUUGUAAAGCUCUUUUGUCAGGGAAGAAACGGUUCUGGAUAAUACCUAGGACUAAUGACGGUACCUGAAGAAUAAGCACCGGCUAACUACGUGCCAGCAGCCGCGGUAAUACGUAGGGUGCAAGCGUUAAUCGGAAUUACUGGGCGUAAAGCGUGCGCAGGCGGUUGUGUAAGUCAGAUGUGAAAUCCCCGGGCUCAACCUGGGAAUUGCAUUUGAGACUGCACGGCUAGAGUGUGUCAGAGGGGGGUAGAAUUCCACGUGUAGCAGUGAAAUGCGUAGAUAUGUGGAGGAAUACCGAUGG